GUGUACCCGCGGCAAGACGGAAAGACCCCGUGAACCUUUACUAUAGCUUGACACUGAACAUUGAGCCUUGAUGUGUAGGAUAGGUGGGAGGCUUUGAAGUGUGGACGCCAGUCUGCAUGGAGCCGACCUUGAAAUACCACCCUUUAAUGUUUGAUGUUCUAACGUGGACCCGUGACCCGGGUUGCGGACAGUGUCUGGUGGGUAGUUUGACUGGGGCGGUCUCCUCCUAAAGAGUAACGGAGGAGCACGAAGGUUGGCUAAUCCUGGUCGGACAU
This 275-nucleotide ribosomal RNA is filed under the name Salmonella enterica subsp. enterica serovar Weltevreden. Its description in RNAcentral is "partial 23S ribosomal RNA". It matches the Rfam family "Bacterial large subunit ribosomal RNA", at positions 2064 to 2338 of the family's 2925-position model. Lineage: Bacteria; Pseudomonadati; Pseudomonadota; Gammaproteobacteria; Enterobacterales; Enterobacteriaceae. The record is from RNAcentral.